UACCAGCACCCCGAGUGGUCGGGACGAUUAUUGGGCCUAAAGCAUCCGUAGCCGGUUUUACAAGUCCUCCGUUAAAUCCAGCUGCUUAACAGAUGGGCUGCGGAGGAUACUAUAAGACUAGGAGGCAGGAGAGGCAAGCGGUACUCAGUGGGUAGGGGUAAAAUCCGUUGAUCCAUUGAAGACCACCAGUGGCGAAGGCGGCUCACUGGCCCGGUACUGACGCUGAGGCGCGAAAGCGUGGGGAGCAAACAGG
This 253-nucleotide ribosomal RNA is filed under the name uncultured bacterium. RNAcentral's name for it is "partial 16S ribosomal RNA". It matches the Rfam family "Archaeal small subunit ribosomal RNA", at positions 474 to 727 of the family's 1478-position model. The record is from RNAcentral.